This 459-nucleotide ribosomal RNA is filed under the name uncultured bacterium. Its description in RNAcentral is "SSU rRNA". It matches the Rfam family "Bacterial small subunit ribosomal RNA", at positions 26 to 518 of the family's 1533-position model. The record is from RNAcentral.
AGAAUCAACGCUGGCGGCGUGCCUAACACAUGCAAGUCGAACGAGAAAGUGGAGCAAUCCAUGAGUAAAGUGGCGCACGGGUGAGUAACACGUGACUAACCUACCCUUGAGUGGGGGAUAACCUAGAGAAAUCUGGGCUAAUACCGCAUAAUACCUUCGGGUCAAAGGAGCAAUUCGCUUAAGGAGGGGGUCGCGGCCGAUUAGUUAGUUGGCGGGGUAAUGGCCCACCAAGACUGUGAUCGGUAUCCGGCCUGAGAGGGCGCACGGACACACUGGAACUGAAACACGGUCCAGACUCCUACGGGAGGCAGCAGUGGGGAAUUUUGCGCAAUGGGGGAAACCCUGACGCAGCAACGCCGCGUGGAGGAUGAAGCCCCUUGGGGCGUAAACUCCUUUCGAUCGGGAAGAUAAUGACGGUACCGAGAGAAGAAGCCCGGCUAACUUCGCGCCAGCAGCCGC